This is a non-coding RNA of Aegilops tauschii subsp. strangulata, 915 nucleotides long. The record is from RefSeq and is a predicted model, not a curated record. Lineage: Eukaryota; Viridiplantae; Streptophyta; Magnoliopsida; Poales; Poaceae.
GGGGCGGCAAAUGAUCAAAGUUAGAAGUAAAGUGGGGCAAAAGAUCCAGUUUCUCCAUACGAGACUAUCUUCGAUUUGAUUUACUUUCUUCAGUUUAUCCUUGUUACUGUUAAGUUCGCAGUGGUUCAGUUUCUAUGAUUUAGCCUUUAACUUUAGUUAGUUCAGUUCUCCCAGUCAUGUUUUGUCGUCUAUCUGAUGAGAUUAUCAUCAUCAGCUUUGGUUGGUUCAGUUAUCAUUUAUUUCUUCAGUUAUUCAUUAUUCCUUAGUAUUACAUAUUUUCCCAUUCUUUGAGCUUACAUCAUUGUUCGAUCUCCCAGUCUCCACAGUUUUCUUCAGUACAAUUUUCAGUACUUAUCGUCUACUCCCUCCGUCUCAUUAUGGGACGGAGGGAGUACCAUUUUUCCAGUUUCGAUUUCUUCAAUUUCGUAAGUUUCUUCUUCAUUUUGUUUCUUCAUUAUAUACUUCUUCAAUCUACUUUUCAAAUCUUCCCUUGUCACUUUUCAUUCUAAUCCUUCUGUUCUGGGUCUGUGUAUUUUCUAUCCUUUUUCAUUGUCUUUCGCCAUUCUUCCCUUGUCAAUCCGUGCUGGUGUCGUAUGGACUUUGUGCAGAGAAACAAAAAAUCGAUAAGUACAUUGCUUUUGAGCUCAACACCCGAGGGUGGUUGCAUUGGCGAUUACACAAAUUCAGGCAUAUGAAACUACACCUGACGAGCUCGUGUAUCUUUUAAAGGCGGGAUGUAUUGUCGUUUUAAGGCUGACCUCAAGACAGGAAUAGCUUAUCAAUUGUUUUCGGUGCUCUCUAGUAUUCAUGUAAGCAUGAUGGUUCUACUGUCGAAUUCCAUGUUGUGAGGGCUAGGGUUUGUAUUAGGCUGUCGCCAUGAAUCUGGAGCUACAAGGAGUAGAAUGACGAGAGGAA